AAUCUUUAGGCCGAGCGGUUAUGGCGCUAGUUUCAGGAAAUGACUAGAGUUUUUCUCUGGCUUUGAAUUUACUAGUUCGAAAGAGCGUGGGUUCGAAUCCCACAGUCAUCA
This 111-nucleotide transfer RNA is filed under the name Phialocephala subalpina. It matches the Rfam family "tRNA". From Rfam's summary of the family: Transfer RNA (tRNA) molecules are approximately 80 nucleotides in length. The record is from Rfam by way of RNAcentral. Lineage: Eukaryota; Fungi; Ascomycota; Leotiomycetes; Helotiales; Mollisiaceae.